This 253-nucleotide ribosomal RNA is filed under the name uncultured bacterium. RNAcentral's name for it is "partial 16S ribosomal RNA". It matches the Rfam family "Bacterial small subunit ribosomal RNA", at positions 524 to 776 of the family's 1533-position model. The record is from RNAcentral.
UACGUAGGGAGCAAGCGUUGUCCGGAAUCAUUGGGCGUAAAGAGCGCGUAGGCGGUCCGGUAAGUCGGUUGUGAAAACUGGGGGCUCAACCCUCAGAGGCCGACCGAUACUGCCGGGCUAGAGUCCGGAAGAGGCGAGUGGAAUUCCUGGUGUAGCGGUGAAAUGCGCAGAUAUCGAGAGGAACACCAGUGGCGAAGGCGAGUCCCUGGACAACACCUGACACUGAGGCACGAAAGCUAGGGGAGCAAACAGG